UUUAGCCNCGUUUCGGNUUCGAUUUAGCCUGCUAGUCGCACGGGUUUAGACCCGUGGCGAAAAGCUCAGUAACACGUGGCCAAACUACCNGAUGGAUCGGAAUAACCUCGGGAAACUGAGGCCAAUUCCGAAUACUGCUCCUGCACUGGGAUGUGCGGAGUUCGAAAUGCUUCGGCGCCAUAGGAUGUGGCUGCGGCCGAUUAGGUUGACGGUGGGGUAACGGCCCACCGUGCCCAUAAUCGGUACGGGUUGUGAGAGCAAGAGCCCGGAGACGGUAUCUGAGACAAGAUACCGGGCCCUACGGGGCGCAGCAGGCGCGAAACCUUUACACUGCACGACAGUGCGAUAAGGGAACUCCGAGUGCGAGGGCAUAGAGCCCUCGCUUUUGUACACCGUAAGGUGGUGUACGAAUAAGGGCUGGGCAAGACCGGUGCCAGCCGCCGCGGUAAUACCGGCAGCCCAAGUGAUGGCCGAUAUUAUUGGGCCUAAAGCGUCCGUAGCUGGCCCGGACAAAGUCCGUUGGGAAAUCCGCGCGCUUAACGCGCGGCGUUCAGCGGAAACUGUCCGGCUUGGGGCCCGAAGAACUGAAGGGUACCUUCGGGGUAGGAAUGAAAUNCUGUAAUCUUGGACGGACCGCUUUGGCAAAGCGCCUUAAGGAGAACGACCCCACAGUGAGGGACGAAAGNCAAGGUU
This 693-nucleotide ribosomal RNA is filed under the name uncultured euryarchaeote. RNAcentral describes it as "bacterial SSU rRNA". It matches the Rfam family "Archaeal small subunit ribosomal RNA", at positions 19 to 718 of the family's 1478-position model. The record is from RNAcentral. Lineage: Archaea; Methanobacteriati; Methanobacteriota.